Molecule: transfer RNA, 72 nt
Filed under: Porticoccaceae bacterium
Lineage: Bacteria; Pseudomonadati; Pseudomonadota; Gammaproteobacteria; Cellvibrionales; Porticoccaceae
Description: tRNA-Gly
Rfam family: tRNA
About the family: Transfer RNA (tRNA) molecules are approximately 80 nucleotides in length. Their secondary structure includes four short double-helical elements and three loops (D, anti-codon, and T loops). Further hydrogen bonds mediate the characteristic L-shaped molecular structure. tRNAs have two regions of fundamental functional importance: the anti-codon, which is responsible for specific mRNA codon recognition, and the 3' end, to which the tRNAs corresponding amino acid is attached (by aminoacyl-tRNA synthetases). tRNAs cope with the degeneracy of the genetic code in two manners: having more than one tRNA (with a specific anti-codon) for a particular amino acid; and 'wobble' base-pairing, i.e. permitting non-standard base-pairing at the 3rd anti-codon position.
Source: RNAcentral
GCACCAAUAGUCCAGUGGUUAGGAUACUCGCCUUCCAAGCGAGUGGCCCGGGUUCGAUUCCCGGUUGGUGCA